Unclassified non-coding RNA from Pogonomyrmex barbatus (red harvester ant), 1302 nucleotides. The record is from RefSeq and is a predicted model, not a curated record. NCBI's taxonomy places the organism in Eukaryota, Metazoa, Arthropoda, Insecta, Hymenoptera, Formicidae.
AAAAACGCGAGGAAAGACGACGACCUCUAUAUAAUACUCGAUUGAUUACUGCUAUUUAUGAAGUCACAUGUAGAAAUCGACAUUUUGAAAAACCCACUCGCUCUGAGUUCCAAACUUAUAUGAAAGAGGCACUUUGUACGGCAAAAGAAAGAUAUCGCAACAGAAUACGUGGUUCACGUAUGCGUGUGCGAGCAGCAAGGCGAGAUCGAGAUUAUUGGAACGACGAAAGAGAGGACAAUCUAAUUGAAUCCAAUAACUGAAAAAUGUGAUAGAUUUUUUUAUAUAUUAUGCAUUUUUGUUGGCGUUUGUAAUGAAAAAUAUGUACAUACCCAGACAAUGCGAAGUCCAAAAUUAGGACGUAAGACGUCUUUUAACGUCUUAGAGUCGGUUGUUUUAAGUUCUUGGUAAGAUAACUGAGCAAAUACCUAUUGCUCCAGUUUUUCGUCAUAGCAGCAAAGAAAUAUUAAUUGCCUCAGUUUUAUAAUCAACAACUAUAGAAAGACUAAUUGCUCCACAGCAAAAGUACAAUUAAUUAUUUCACUUUUAUCGCCACAGUAACUGUAGAGACACUAAUUAUUUUACUUUUAUCGCCACAACAAUAGAUAUAAAAGUAUAACAAUUGAAAAAAACGUUUGAAAAACUGAUGCCUGGAGUGAAUAUACGUCAUAGCCAAUCACAUAUUACUUGGGAUAUUUUAACCAAUCUAAGAACUUUAUUUUGGCGAUAUUUUAUUAGCACUAUAGAUCAGCAAUGCGUGCGCAAUUUUGUAUAUGCAUACACAUGACUGGUAAAAAAUGGAGUAAGACUAAUUUUUCCUGCAUAAGUAAUACGAAAGACAGAAAGAAGAUCCAAUAGCCUCGAGAUAUAGUUUUGUCUUUUAACUUUAUCAUUAUCAUUUAUUCUAUCAAAGGAAUUAAAAAUGGCCUCGAUUCGAAUAUUACAUAUUUCGGAAAUUUUGCAAAGAUGACAAAGAUUAUCGCAUGUAUAAGCAAUGGAACGGUGUGAUAGUGCGGAAUACACGAACGAAACAUCAUUUCUCUACAGAGUAUAACUUGCACAAAUAUUUAAUCGAAUUUUUAAUACGACUUAUUUGUGAAUGUAUAUUACGGAGAUUAUAAUAUUUUUUCAGAUGCACAAAAUGUGUGUUCUGUCAGUUACAUUUGUUAAAAAUACAUAUUCCUCUGAUAUGUGAUACGAAGAAUUCAACAUUUUUUGUAAAUAAAUCUGCAGAUGAAUUAUAGAAAGCUAUGACGACUGUUAGUGAUGCAGGAAGACAUAGAGGUAGAGUGAAAGAAUUAGCAA